CUGCCUAGUAUGGAGGAGGGGAUAAAAAGGUCUGCCUGCAGAGGGGAGGAGCUAAGGGCUGCCUGGUGUGGGGACAGACCCUUCUGCUGUGACCUUGGUGGGUAUCUGGGCUUGGGAUGCUCCUGUUGGAUUCUCCCUGAGCUGCUUCCUAUUCCUCUGACACUGCAGCCCUUCUGGCCCCUGGGCACUGGAGUGGCACGGGGCUUCCUGGCAGCCUUUGACGCAGCCUGGAUGGUGAAGCGGUGGGCAGAGGGCGCUGAGUCCCUAGAGGUGUUGGCUGAGCGUGAAAGCCUGUACCAGCUUCUGUCACAGACAUCCCCAGAAAACAUGCAUCGCAAUGUGGCCCAGUAUGGGCUGGACCCAGCCACCCGCUACCCAAACCUGAACCUCCGGGCAGUGACCCCCAAUCAGGUCAGACCCCCGACACACACCAGCCUUCCCAAGCCAACCCCCUUCCCCCAGGUCAGGCCCUCCCUGCCCAGUCGCUGCCCUUUGGGGUCAAUCCUACCCCCAGCAGGCCCUUACCCCUGGACUGAGGGGCUGUGUGGCCAGCCUGCCUUGAGACCUGAGCGGGGCUGCCUUAGGUACGAGACCUGUAUGAUGUGCUAGCCAAGGAGCCUGUGCAGAGGAACGGCGACAAGACAGAUACAGGGAUGCCAGUCACCGGUGAGCAGGCCUUCCUCCCGAGGGGUGACCAAAAUAUGUACUACCCAGCGAGGCCCAGGUGGUCCCCGCAAAGCAGCUGCAGCCUCAGGACAGGAGCAGCGUGCCGGAGCACUCGUUGUUGGCUGGUGGGUUGGUUGGGGGCCUGCUGGAGGAACGGAGGGGCAGCACCGCACAGGCAGCAGUUGGCUGCCAGUCUGAAUGGAAGCGCUUCAGUGUUUUAACCACCGUUACAGCCAUAGCGGUGCUGGCAACCUCCCCUGCUCCCAGUUUAGUCUGCUGCCCUUUAUGUAGCCAGUUGCGAUUUCACUUUAUUCACUCCUCUACUUUAUUCCAAAGAGAUUUUUUUAAAAGAGAAUUGGGAUGGAGGGCUGCUGAUAGUGAGCUUUAGGCUGGUGCCCUAGUAGAGGUGGGUCCCUGACUCCUCCUCCCCUACAGAACCCCCACAUGCAGCAGCUGGGCUCCCUAUAUACCUGGGAUGGGCAGAGGGGGCCUUGGGCACAGCGCAGCCUUCUCUCCCAGGGUCGGCAGGCACCCAGGAGGAGCUGCUACGCUGGUGCCAGGAGCAGACAGCUGGGUACCCGGGAGUCCACGUCUCCGAUUUGUCUUCCUCCUGGGCUGACGGGCUAGCUCUGUGUGCCCUGGUGCACCGGCUGCAGCCUGACCUGCUGUGAGUCCCUGGCAGACCCACCUCUCUCUCAUGGUCUCAGUGUAGGAGUUAGCAUAUCCAGUUGAGUCCUAGAGACGGUGUGCUUCCCUGCAUCUGCCGACAGUCUUGUGAGACUCUAAUGCAUUCAGAUAGUGGAGAGCUUUGUGAAUGGCACAGGCCCCCAAAGCCAGGAGUAGUGUCACUGGGUUGGGCACUGGGUAGCAGAGACUACACACCUACCUUCAAGCCUUCUUGUACCCCAGCCGCUGCUUGCUGUCCCUCCCCUCCUGCUGCCCCUCCUCCCCUCAGUGGGGCUAGGUUCUUGUCUCUAGUUGGCUUUUCUCCCUGACAUUCCACAGGGAACCCUCAGAGCUGCAGGGGCUGGGAGCUCUGGAAGCAACUGCUUGGGCACUAAAGGUGGCAGAGCAUGAGCUGGGCAUCACACCGGUGGUGUCUGCACAGGCCAUGGUAGCAGGGAGUGACCCACUGGGCCUCAUUGCCUACCUCAGCCACUUCCACAGUGCCUUCAAGAGCGCGGCCCACAGCCCAGGUGACCUGAAGGAAAGGCGGGCAGGAUAGGUGGGAUGGGGAGGUGUGUGUGUGUGUGUGUGUGUGUGUGACAGAAAGAGGGAGAAGGCGGUCAGAAAGAGGGAGAAGGCGCCCUCUGAGGGCCAGCCUGGGCUGGGUUGGAGAGUGACUCUCUGUUCUGGGAGUACAGUAUUGGCACCCCCCUUCCACACUGAUGCCCUGGCUCUCCCCGCAGGCCCUGUCAGCCAGGCCUCACCAGGGACCUCCAGUGCUGUAUUAUUCCUUGGUAAACUUCAGAGGACCCUGCAGCGAUCCCGGGCCAAGGUGGAGAGUUUAGGCAGGGCUGGAGCUGAGCAGGGAGGAGUGGGCAGGGGGGUACCCAGUGGAGAUCCUGGGGUGAUGGUGAGGACAUUCAGAAAGUGGGGAGGACUGCGAGCUCAAAACAUCACACUCAGAGCUGUUAGGACUUAUUGCAGGAAAACGCAGAGGAUGCUGGCGGCAAGAAGCUGCGCUUGGAGGUAAAUGCAGGCAGGGGCGGAUCGGUCUCCUACCCCACAUUUUAUCCCCUUUCCCGGUACUGUCUUCCCUAUUUCUCAUCCCAUGUCUUGUUCCCCACCCCAGGUCCUAUAACCCCCCAUCCAGCCUCCCUGCCUAGUCUCACUCCCCUUCCCUUCAGCCCCUUAUGUUCAUCUGUACGCAUCCCCUCCCAGCUGGCCCUGCCCCUCUACCCUCCCUGCCUGAGCACUUACCUCCUUAGAUGGAGGCCGAGACCCCAAGUACUGAGGUGCCACCUGACCCAGAGCCUGGUGUACCCCUGACACCCCCAUCCCAACACCAGGAGGUGAGAGCCAGGCCUCGUGUGCAGGCAGAAGCCUGGGGAGGGCAGGGCAGGGGCAUUUCAUCGGAGGGAAAGAACUUUGGAGCUGGCCUUGGCUCCACCUGACCCUGUGUCCUGGGGGUCCACGCAGGCCAGUGCCGGGGACCUGUGUGCACUUUGUGGGGAACACCUCUAUGUCCUGGAACGCCUCUGUGUCGAUGGCCAUUUCUUCCACCGGAGCUGCUUCCGCUGCCAUACCUGUGAGGCUACACUGUGGCCAGGUGGCUAUGAGCGGCACCCAGGAGAUGGACAUUUCUACUGCCUCCAGCACCUGCCCCAGCCAGACCACAAAGAGGAAGGCAGUGAUGGAGGUCCUGAGAGUCCGGUAAAGACUGUGAAGGCGUGUAUGUGUACUGGGGCAUGGGAAGAGGAAGAGGGUCUCGUCAAACCAGCGCUUUGCUGGGGGUAACUGAAUGUCUUCCUCUACUAGCAUGUAAGCUCUGUGAAGGCAGGGAUGCCUGUCUGCUUACACUUCUUGUUCUCUCAAGUAUCUGAAACACAGCCGGACACUGUUUGUAAACAAUUUUAAGCGAAUGAAUGCCAAGGCCCACCUUUGCUCUGAAGGGGCGGCCUCACCCCGUGACCUCACCCCAGCCUGGGCAGGUCACUGACCAGACCACAUGGUGGCUUUUCCAGGAGCUCCCCACACCAAGUGAGAAUAGCAUGCCACCAGGCCUCUCAACUCCCACAGCCUCACAGGAGGGGGCCGGUCCUGUUCCAGAUCCCAGCCAGCCCACCCGUCGGCGGAUCCGCCUCUCCAGCCCGGAGCGCCAGCGGUUGUCCUCCCUUAACCUUACUCCUGACCCGGAAAUGGAGCCUCCACCCAAGCCCCCCCGCAGCUGCUCUGCCUUGGCCCGCCACGCCCUGGAGAGCAGCUUUGUGGGUUGGGGCCUGCCAGUCCAGAGCCCUCAAGCUCUUGUGGCCAUGGAGAAGGAGGAAGAAGAGAGUCCCUUCUCCAGUGAAGAGGAAGAAGAAGAUGUGCCUUUGGACUCAGAUGUGGAACAGGCCCUGCAGACCUUUGCCAAGACUUCAGGCACCAUGAAUAACUACCCAACAUGGCGUCGGACUCUGCUGCGCCGUGCGAAGGAGGAGGAGAUGAAGAGGUUCUGCAAGGCCCAGACUAUCCAACGGCGACUAAAUGAGAUCGAGGCUGCCCUGAGGGAGCUAGAAGCCGAGGGUGUGAAGCUGGAGCUGGCCUUGAGGCGCCAGAGCAGUUCCCCAGAACAGCAAAAGAAACUAUGGGUAGGACAGCUGCUACAGCUCGUUGACAAGAAAAACAGCCUGGUGGCUGAGGAGGCCGAGCUCAUGAUCACGGUGCAGGAGUUGAACCUGGAGGAGAAACAGUGGCAGCUGGACCAGGAGCUACGAGGCUACAUGAACCAGGAAGAAACCCUAAAGACAGCUGCUGAUCGGCAGGCUGAGGACCAGGUCCUGAGGAAGCUGGUGGAUUUGGUCAACCAGAGAGAUGCCCUCAUCCGCUUCCAGGAGGAGCGCAGGCUCAGUGAGCUGGCCUUGGGGACAGGGGCCCAGGGCUAGAUGAGGGUGGGCCGUCUGCUUUCGUUCCCACAAAGAAACCACCUCACCCCAGCACAGUGCCACCCCUGUUCAUCUGGGCUGCCUGGCAGAGAGCCUUGCUGUUUACAAUUAAAAUGUUUCUGCCAC
This 4379-nucleotide small RNA is filed under the name Pongo abelii (Sumatran orangutan). Its description in RNAcentral is "retained intron". The record is from RNAcentral. Lineage: Eukaryota; Metazoa; Chordata; Mammalia; Primates; Hominidae.